Molecule: ribosomal RNA, 547 nt
Filed under: uncultured Spirochaetota bacterium
Lineage: Bacteria; Pseudomonadati; Spirochaetota
Description: bacterial SSU rRNA
Rfam family: Bacterial small subunit ribosomal RNA
Source: RNAcentral
CAGCAGCCGCGGUAAUACGUAAGGGGCGAGCGUUGUUCGGAUUUAUUGGGCGUAAAGAGUAUGUAGGCGGAUAAGUAGGCUUUAUGAUAAAGGUCGUAGCUCAACUACGGUGUAUUGUAAAGAACCACUUGUCUUGAGUUGUGGAGAGGGAACUGGAAUUCCUGGUGUAGGGGUGAAAUCCAUAGAUAUCAGGAAGAACACCAGAGGCGAAGGCGAGUUCCUAGCCAAUAACUGACGCUGAGAUACGAAAGCGAACGGGAUUAGAUACCCCGGUAGUCCAUGCCGUAAACGAUGUGCACUAGGUAAUGGGUUGUAUAAAUUCAUUGCCGUAGCUAACGCGUUAAGUGCACCGCCUGGGAAGUAUGCCGGCAACGGUGAAACUCAAAGGAAUUGACGGGGGCCCGCACAAGCGGUGGAGCAUGUGGUUUAAUUCGAUGAUACGCGAGGAACCUUACCAGGGUUUGACAUAUACUGGAAAUUACAAGAGACUGUAAUGUCCUUCGGGACCAGUAAACAGGUGCUGCAUGGCUGUCGUCAGCUCGUGCCG